GACUUCUGGUUUAAUGCACCUGGCCCGCGGCCCACAAGGCCUGUGAGUGCCGGCGCGCGUUUACCAUCCUUCCAGCUGGAUCUUUUACUUUGAAAAAAUUAAUCUAGGACUUCGGUUCUAUUUUGGUUUCUAGAACUGAAGUAAUGAUUGAUAGGGAUAGUUGGGGGUGCUAGUAUUGGCCGGUCAGAGGUGAAAUUCUUGGAUUCGGUCAAGACUAACUUAUGCGAAAGCAUUCACCAAGGAUGUCUUCUU
This 252-nucleotide ribosomal RNA is filed under the name uncultured Paracercomonas. RNAcentral's name for it is "partial 18S ribosomal RNA". The stretch from base 76 to 252 matches the Rfam family "Eukaryotic small subunit ribosomal RNA", at positions 795 to 973 of the family's 1831-position model. Lineage: Eukaryota; Cercozoa; Cercomonadida; Cercomonadidae. The record is from RNAcentral.